AAUUGACCUCGGAUCAGGU
RNAcentral lists this ribosomal RNA (19 nucleotides) under Biatora hypophaea. RNAcentral describes it as "partial 28S ribosomal RNA". Lineage: Eukaryota; Fungi; Ascomycota; Lecanoromycetes; Lecanorales; Ramalinaceae. The record is from RNAcentral. RNAcentral also lists the same sequence under 1 other name.